CAGCCGCCACGGGAACACGAAGGGGGCUAGCGUUGCUCGGAAUGACUGGGCGUAAAGGGCGCGUAGGCGGAUUGCGCAGUCAGAUGUGAAAUUCCUGGGCUUAACCUGGGGGCUGCAUUUGAGACGCGUAGUCUAGAGUGUGAAAGAGGGUCGUGGAAUUCCCAGUGUAGAGGUGAAAUUCGUAGAUAUUGGGAAGAACACCGGUGGCGAAGGCGGCGACCUGGUUCAUAACUGACGCUGAGGCGCGAAAGCGUGGGGAGCAAACAGGAUUAGAUACCCCCGUAGUCCCUGUCUCUUAUAC
Molecule: ribosomal RNA, 301 nt
Filed under: uncultured bacterium
Lineage: Bacteria
Description: partial 16S ribosomal RNA
Rfam family: Bacterial small subunit ribosomal RNA
Source: RNAcentral